ACUCUAACCCGUGGCGCUAUGCUAUGCAUUAUGUGAAAUCUAGAGGUCUACCUGAAGUGACUUCAUUGAUUAAUAUCGACCACAAUUUACAAAGAGUCCCAACAGUUGUUGCUUUUGUGGAGUCUAUGACCCCAACUGGACAGGGAAAUUAUACUAUUAAUUUAAAGGACCCAACUGCAACGAUUGGUGCAAGCUUACAUUACAAAGUUAAGCAACACCAAC
This is a non-coding RNA of Cajanus cajan (pigeon pea), 222 nucleotides long. The record is from RefSeq and is a predicted model, not a curated record. Lineage: Eukaryota; Viridiplantae; Streptophyta; Magnoliopsida; Fabales; Fabaceae.